GACUGCAUAUUCGGAGAAUCAAGUCACGUGAUGUUAAGCUACGUCAUUAAGGAGCUGGAUGAUUUGUAACGGUCGAAAGUAUUUCUGAGGAAUAAAACGUUUUCUUAUGUUUGCAGAUGGAAGGGGACGAAACUAUUAUUAUGUGAAGACACAUCUCGGACUAUCUGCUGUUCAAAACCACCAAGGAUGGAGUCGGAUGAAAUCUGCAUGCCAAGACCACAGUUAUGUGAUUAGUACAAGCCCAGAUGUUCAAGUUUUGCUAACAUACAGCAGUGUUGUUUGACAGACUUUCCACAGCAGUGUUAUGGAGGCAAAAUCAGAUUACGGUGAUGUGACCAGACAAAGAUGUUAAAUUUUUGCAAGCAUACUGAUGUCAUGUGGGCCAGAUUUUCCACAGCAGUGUUAAUUUCAUAAAUUAGCUUGAUCAUAGUGUAUGGCUGUUCAAUAUUAAGUAUAAUGCUAAUUUCAGAUUUUGUAUGUUUCACUGUUGAUUUCCAUUUUGAACUGUAGAGCUAGCCAAGCUUUCUAAGAUGUUCAGUUAGAUACAUGUAUA
Molecule: long non-coding RNA, 553 nt
Organism: Mercenaria mercenaria
Lineage: Eukaryota; Metazoa; Mollusca; Bivalvia; Venerida; Veneridae
Exons: 3
Source: RefSeq, a predicted model, not a curated record